AAUCAACGCUGGCGGCGUGCCUAACACAUGCAAGUCGAACGCGAAAGCCCCGCAAGGGGUAAGUAGAGUGGCAAACGGGUGAGUAACACGUGGGUGACCUGCCUUCGAGUGGGGGAUAACGUCCCGAAAGGGACGCUAAUACCGCAUGACAUCCUGCUUUUGAAAAAGCGGAGAUCAAAGCUGGGGAUCGCAAGACCUAGCGCUUGAAGAGGGGCCCGCGCCUGAUUAGCUAGUUGGUGAGGUAACGGCUCACCAAGGCGACGAUCAGUAUCCGGCCUGAGAGGGCGGACGGACACACUGGGACUGAGACACGGCCCAGACUCCUACGGGAGGCAGCAGUGGGGAAUUGUUCGCAAUGGGCGCAAGCCUGACGACGCAACGCCGCGUGGAGGACGAAGAUCUUCGGGUCGUAAACUCCUGUCGAGCGGGACGAACGCUUCGCGGAUGAAUAAUCCGCGGAAUUGACGGUAUCGCUAAAGGAAGCCCCGGCUAACUCCGUG
RNAcentral lists this ribosomal RNA (500 nucleotides) under uncultured bacterium. RNAcentral's name for it is "partial 16S ribosomal RNA". It matches the Rfam family "Bacterial small subunit ribosomal RNA", at positions 32 to 507 of the family's 1533-position model. The record is from RNAcentral.